UACGGAGGGGGCUAGCGUUGUUCGGAAUUACUGGGCGUAAAGCGCACGUAGGCGGACUGGAAAGUCAGGGGUGAAAUCCCGGGGCUCAACCCCGGAACUGCCCUUGAAACUCCCGGUCUUGAGGUCGAGAGAGGUGAGUGGAAUUCCGAGUGUAGAGGUGAAAUUCGUAGAUAUUCGGAGGAACACCAGUGGCGAAGGCGGCUCACUGGCUCGAUACUGACGCUGAGGUGAGAAAGCGUGGGGAGCAAACAGG
RNAcentral lists this ribosomal RNA (253 nucleotides) under uncultured bacterium. RNAcentral's name for it is "partial 16S ribosomal RNA". It matches the Rfam family "Bacterial small subunit ribosomal RNA", at positions 524 to 776 of the family's 1533-position model. The record is from RNAcentral.